AUGACAGAAAAUGAAGAUCCUCAAGGGAAGGCUAAGAAAAUUCCUCUUCCUUCCAAAACUGCCUUGCAGGAUCAGUGGAAAAUUUCUGUUCAGAACAGGAUCCUUGGCAAGGAUACACCACCACCAGGCAGCUUGCAGUAUGACUUUAAAACAGCGAUUACAGCAGUACUGCAUAUUGCAGGCAUCCUGGGACUCUCCUGCUUUCUUCUGGUGCCAGGCUGUCACUGUGAUCUCACUGCUGUCCUCCAUCAGGUCCACAUGCAGGAACCAUUCUACUGUUUGCAGCAUGGGGAAUGGAUGGCAGAGCUAAAGAAGAUCCUGGAAAAAAAAAACCUAACCCUUCCAUUAAGGUCUUCUGCUGAAAGAUUUUGUGAGAUUGCAUAAAUCUGUGCAUGAGCAAAAAAAGCUUCACUACAGAGCAGCUCAGUGCUAUUGAUCCUUGAAUUUAGGAGCCCUCUGGAAUCUGUCAUGAAAGAAAGGUAAGAUUUUGGUUGGUUGGUUGGUUUUGUUUGUUCUGUUGUGUUUUGUUUUUUUUUCUUCUUCUUAAGGAGAAUGAUCUUCCUGUUUGUGAUUUACAGGCCUGGAUAAAAUAAAAUUUAAAAAUGACAUCUAUACGUUGCA
RNAcentral lists this long non-coding RNA (621 nucleotides) under Numida meleagris (helmeted guineafowl). Its description in RNAcentral is "lncRNA (ENSNMEG00000000184.1)". The record is from RNAcentral. Lineage: Eukaryota; Metazoa; Chordata; Aves; Galliformes; Numididae.